UUGGGUGGAUUAGUGGCGAACGGGUGAGUAAUACGUGGGUAACCUGCCCUCCUUUUUGGGAUAAGCCUUGGAAACGGGGUCUAAUACCGAAUAUUCUGGCGCUCUCGCAUGGGGGUGUUGGGAAAGCUUUUGUGUGAAGGGGGAUGGGCUCGCGGCCUAUCAGCUUGUUGGUGGGGUGAUGGCCUACCAAGGCGGUGACGGGUAGCCGGCCUGAGAGGGUGACCGGCCACAUUGGGACUGAGAUACGGCCCAGACUCCUACGGGAGGCAGCAGUGGGGGAUAUUGCACAAUGGGCGAAAGCCUGAUGCAGCGACGCCGCGUGGGGGAUGAAGGCUUUCGGGUUGUAAACCUCUUUCGCUAUCGAACAAGGCCCGCUUAGGGUGGGUUGAGGGUAGGUGGAGAAGAAGCGC
Molecule: ribosomal RNA, 410 nt
Filed under: Actinotignum schaalii
Lineage: Bacteria; Bacillati; Actinomycetota; Actinomycetes; Actinomycetales; Actinomycetaceae
Description: bacterial SSU rRNA
Rfam family: Bacterial small subunit ribosomal RNA
Source: RNAcentral